This 1290-nucleotide long non-coding RNA is filed under the name Homo sapiens (human). RNAcentral describes it as "HSALNT0161103". The record is from RNAcentral. Lineage: Eukaryota; Metazoa; Chordata; Mammalia; Primates; Hominidae.
UAACAAGACUAACAUCAGUGAAAAGAUGGCAGUGAUCACCUGAUGGAACUGGAUGAGCUAUGUUGCCCAGGCUGGUCGCAAACUCCAGGCCUCCGGGAAUCCUCCUGCCUCAGCCUUCUGAAGUGCUGAAAUUACAGGUAUGACUCACUGCACCUGGCCACUACUGCUUAUUGGGUGCAGAUAAAAAGGAGUCAGUGAAUAAACUGAUGAUGUGGGAAGGAAAGAGAGAGAGAGAAAGAAUAAAUGUAGGACUGAAGUUCUUGAGAAAGGCAGAGGAGGUGCCAAAAGUGGAGGGGCUGGCUUAGCUAGGACCAGGGAUAUUUUGUCUAUCAAAAUAGGAGAGAAGGAAUACUAUAUGGGUACAGAUGCAAUUAAGUUGGUUGAUUUGGUGAAAGAAAGAGUAGUUAAUUCAUUUUCACUUUCUGCUUAUAUUUUUUCAAUGACGUAUGAGUUGAAAAAGCGGGGCAAGAUAGAACAGUCAAUAGAGACGUUUGAAAAGGUCAUAAGAAGGUGUGACAUUGUCACAUAAGCAUGCAACAACCUGGGAAAUAAAGUAGGGCUGCACUACAACAGUGUCCAGUUCAGUUGUGGUUAUGAAUUUAAAUGAGACCAGUCAGCACAAUUAUGUGAUUCUUCCCCCUAACAAUGUUCAGCUGCUUCGGCGACAGCACGGAAUAGACGGAUCAUUGGUGGAAACAGGGAUGGAGAUACGCCAGGAGUGUGCAAUGAAGAAUAAGAGGGGAGAGUUCACACAUUUCCAUAGGAAGAGAGCCACACCGCACAAACAACAGGUGUAAUUCUAAGGUGCUGUUUCUCCGAAUGCCACACAUGUUUACCACUGCUCAUCUCAAGGAAUCAAAACCCAGUUUCAACUUUUAUACAAAACCCAUGAAAGACUUAACCUUCUAUAAAAAUAUGUGAACAAAAGUAGACUCCCUUCUGGGAGGAUUGGGAGGGAUGGAGGAAAUUAUCCCAGAGAGUGCCGGCUCGGGAGUCGCUCUGAGGUCAGCCCCAAUCCUUUGGUUUACAUUUGUAGGGAGGAUCCACCCAACAGCUGUGCUUUAGUCAUCUUUAGAGAUACUCUCUCCCACCCCCUACCCUAAAAAACACAGAGUUGAAUGUGCUGAGAAGUAUACAUUAUGCUGCAUUGUGUGACUGUGUAAUUACUGUCCUAUACAUGCUGGACCAGAGAUUGACUGAAGACUGGAGAAUUAAACAAAGUUGUGACUAAUUCUGGAUCAAAUCCAAUAGGCAGAUGAAUAGGGCAAUCCUGAUAUUUUGCCAAAGCCA